CAAAUCUAAGGCUCUGCCUUGCGUUGGAACGAUCCGUCUGCGGAUGCUCCAAAACUCUUCGGGCGCCUUCCUGUCCCUGGCAGCGUAGCAAGUCUUUUCGCUGCCCGGGUCCUGCGAAGGCAGCCGGUCCACACGA
This 136-nucleotide unclassified non-coding RNA is filed under the name uncultured Dothideomycetes. RNAcentral describes it as "sequence contains ITS2". Lineage: Eukaryota; Fungi; Ascomycota; Dothideomycetes. The record is from RNAcentral.